CAAGUCUUAUCGGUGGAUCACUCGGUUCGUAGGUCGAUGAAAACGGGGCAAAACCGUUAUUUGGCGUGAAUUGCAACAUAUUGAGCGCUAAAUUUGACGCAAAUGCACUAACAGGUUUUAUCUGUAAUAUGUUCAAUUGAGGUCUUU
Molecule: ribosomal RNA, 147 nt
Filed under: Steinernema sp. SGjk
Lineage: Eukaryota; Metazoa; Nematoda; Chromadorea; Rhabditida; Steinernematidae
Description: 5.8S ribosomal RNA
Rfam family: 5.8S ribosomal RNA
About the family: 5.8S ribosomal RNA (5.8S rRNA) is a component of the large subunit of the eukaryotic ribosome.
Source: RNAcentral